This 5810-nucleotide long non-coding RNA is filed under the name Homo sapiens (human). RNAcentral describes it as "non-protein coding lnc-PDYN-1:22". Lineage: Eukaryota; Metazoa; Chordata; Mammalia; Primates; Hominidae. The record is from RNAcentral.
AGAACAGUACAGUGACCCUACACGCUUGUUACCAGCCUCACCUGUCACCCACAUGGAGUCCUUCCCAUUUGUGGGGUUUCCAGGAUUUGCUGAGCACCUACUAUGCAUCAGACGCUGUGUUCUAGGCAAGGGGGAUACACCUGAUGGAAGAAGGUCCUUCCCUAGACGUAGCUAACAUCCCAGUGUGGGAGAUGACACGAAACAGUAUGCCCAUGUAAGUUCUGGCCAAUGGAAAAUGUUGUGUGUGACUUCCAGAAAAUGUCUUAAAAGGGAAGGUAAACACCUUCCUCCACCAGUCCUCCACACUUUCUGGAAUUUGAGACAUGAUGACUACAUCUCAAGCAGCUCGGACCAUGUGAUAAUUUAAAGAUGGCUGUGGAUUCUUUGAUCCUCCUCCCUUUGAGAGGAGUCAAUUUCCCCUGUACUUAAAUCUGGGCUGACCUGUGACUUCUUUGACCAAUAGAGUAUGGUGGAAAUGAUGUCACGCCCACUCCAGGCCUAACCUCUAGGAGGACUGGCAGUUUCUGCUAUGGCCUCUGGGAGCCAUGAGCUGCCAUGAAAAAGGUCAAACUACUCUGCUGGAGACACCCACCUGGAGAAGCCCUGGGAUUCCAUGGAGAGGCAGACGGACCCAGCUGAGCUCAGUGUUCCAGCCAUCCCCACGAAAGCACCAGGAACCUGAGUGAAACCAUCUCGAUCCUCCAGCAUAGCACAAUCAGCAGCUGAAGAUCACUGAGUGACUCUAGUCGGCGCUCCAUGGAUCACUGAAGGAUCACCCAGCUGAGCCCUGCGCAAAUUUCUGACUCACAAAACUGUAGACGAUACAAUGGUUGUUGUUUGGGGGCAGUUUGUUAUGCUGUAGCAAUAAAUAGCCAGAAGAGACCAAGAGGCAGAAGUUGUUUGCUGAAAAUAAUGCAAAAAUUAUACCAGCCCUUGCCCAGCUACCUCCGGAUUUCUUGCUACAUGAAAAAAAAAAAAAAAAUCCCUAUUUGUUUAAGCCUCGUUGACACCUUGGGCUAUUGCUCAGUCCUCAGUUUUCCAUUUGUUAAAUGGAGCAUUAGCUCCUGUCUUACUACUUCCCAAAGGUGCCUGAGAGGGUAGAGUAAGAAUGAAGAAGAGAAGGCCUUUUUCAUGUAAUAUAAACAGUGCUUAUGUUCCCAAAGAUCAGCGAGUGACAUGCUCAAACAGUUAUAAUAUAUUUAAUGUGGUCAUAAUGGGAGUGAACUUGUCAUGAACCAAUUGCAAUGGAUUUUGGAAUCAGACACGUUAGGGCUUGAGGCUCUCAGCUCUGCUAGACAAACUUCUAACUUGACAAAUAGGCCAGUCAUUAAAUCUCUCCAAGCCUUAGUUCCCUCAUCAAUAAAGCACAGACGAUGUGAUUUCCCUCCGUUGAGUCUGUGUGAGGAUUAAAUUAAAUGAGAUUCAUCCAUCUAUUUGAUAAAUAUUGAAUAUCUCCUAGGGUCUAGGCCAAACACACUCUUGAUAUUGGUGGAGGCUGGUGUCCACUCACCCUUAAAUCUAAAUAUUUAAAAAUUAUAAAUCAGACCAAUACCUUCUCUUAAAUGUUCUAUCCUUCUCCUCAGUAAGUAUAACUUCUCAGCAGCCUGAAAGGCCAGGAUUGAUUUGGAUUUCUUAGAUACUCGCACUGAAAUGUGGCGGUGCUGGGGAGAGCCAGCCCCAUUCCCUGGUCGCUCAUUUCCCAGCCUAUAAACUGCCACCUUCCCUUCUCAUCCCCAGCUCCAUCCUGUACCGUGCACACCUCACCUGCAUGUGUGUAGACAUCCCAGGCUGCAGGUCCAAUCUCCAUCCACACCCUAUCCUCUGCAGUGCCCCUUGGCUACACCCUGGGCUUAGUGUUCUGCCUCCAGACAAUAGACCAGGAAGAGGCCUGGCAGCAGGCUUGGGACUUUUAGGUAGGGAGCUCAGGAAUCCUAGGAAUCUGUAGUAUUCUAGACAAGGAGCAAAGACUUGGAUGGGUAUAUCCCCUUGGCACUGCAGACUCUCUAGCCUGUGGGGAUGUACGCAGCUGGAGGCUGGCCAGGGCAGAGCCCCGCUUGCCUGGGUCCAAGGAUGGGCUGGUCAGCCUGUGCUAGGUGCUGCAGGUACAUGAGUAGAUGAAGCAGAUACCACCCCUGCUUCUCCUACUCAAAGGUGAAGACACAUCCCUGAAGUCAGGGCCUCAGUCUUAGCCCUAUCUAUAAGAUGAGGGCUUACCUGAUCUGACAUCAGGUAAUGUUGGAGACUUGGUGUACGUCCUCAGGAAUGUCCUAGAAGCCAGGAGGUCAGAUGAGGAGGGGCAAGCUUAAGGCCUAAGCAAUCAACUUCCUCCUUGAACCUAAGGCUGGCAAGGCAGGAAGGGCACCCACCCUCUGGUCCAACUCCAUCCACGCAACUCCUUCAGUGGCCAUAACAACACAACUUCCCAUCACACCUAGAAUAAAAGUCCAGCUCCUUGCCGAGACCUGCAAAGCCUGCUACCCCCAGCUGCUGACCAUCUCCAGUCUCCUUACUACUGCUCACUGAGUUCCAUCCUUAUGUUCAUGAAACCCCACAUCUACUCUCCCACCUCAAGGCCUUUGCCCUUGCUGUUUUCUCUGCUGGACACGCCCAGCUCUUUGCAUGGCUAGUUCCUCUCACUGUGCAGGCCUCAGCUUACUCUCUUGCACAGAGACGUCCAUUGACAUCCUUUUAGGAGCAGCUCCUGUCUAGCCCCAGCUCUCUCUUGGGCGUGUCACCACUUUACAUCCUUCCUAGUACAGCCAAAACUGGUGUAAUGGAGUGUGCAAAAGCUUCCACUUGGGGCUGGACUGGCUGGGUCGAAACCCAGGCUGGGCCCAAUAUUCUCAAGUGCCGAGCCUACCUACUGCGCACUUGAGGCUAUUGUUCAACCUGGUUCCCCACAUAUCGUGCAACCUGUUGUUUCUCCACCUAUCGUGCAACCUGUUUCUCCACAUAUUGUUCAACUUCCUAUUUCCCUUCAAUAGAUUAUUCAACCAGCAUUUUCCUAUCUGUACAAGGGAGUGAGGAUUACAUGACCUAAUGUGCAUAUAGCAUAGAGCAGAGCCUGGCAUAAGCGCUGCAUUGGUGUUUGCUACGAUAUUAACACUUGUUGCUAUUUGAAAUUAUUUUGUCUGUAUGUUUCUUGUUUAUUUCCCUCUUCUCUCUGACAGGCAAACUCCCCACAACAGCCUCCUCAACGCUGCCUCCCACAGUGCUUGGACAAAAUAAUUACAGCAAGAUGCGGGCACUGAGCUGACUCCUUAUGUAGGACAUCCCAGUGCAGGUAGAGAAACUGAGGGACAGUUGGAGGUUCCUUGCCCUUGGUGAUGCGGUGAGAGGGCCUGCAGGCACCAGCCCGGCCGCCCGCACCGCUUCUCGCGGACCCCAGCGGAGCCGCGCUUCUCGUGCCGCUCCUGAGGGUUUCCGCGGCGCCGGCGUUUUUGUUCCCGGCGCGUUUAAGUCGUUGAGGCCGAAUCAAGCGAAGGCGGAAAAGCGGCGCGCAGCCCGCGUCAGCUGCAGUUCCGUCCCCCUGGUUCCCGGUGCGCUAACAAAGGCAUUUGCAUGAAAACAGGAACCCCGUCUGCAGAAAGGACUCGUUGGCGGGGUGCAUCGUGCGCUCCAGUGCCCCUACCGCGGCGCCCCGCUCCCCAGGUGGGGAAGAAGCGGGGUGCGGGGACUGGCCCCAAACACGGCUCGGCCGGCGGGGACCGGCACGCUGCGGCCCGGGCGACCCCCUUCUCCGCCCCUUUCCCAGGCCGGCGGAAACGGCCGUCUCGGGCGUGGGCGCGCUUCUGCGGACUCCUCGGGACCUUUUACCCAGGCGUGCGGCCGGGGCGCCCGGGGCCUCGGGGAGCCGGCGCCAGCGUGCGGAGCGCAGCGGAGCGGAGGGAGCGGCGGGAGCGGCGUCCGUGGCUGGUCCAGGUCUGGGGCGCAGCCUCCAGGCUCGCCCUGCGCCGCUCUGGGCCUCGGCCUCUUCGCCUGUUCGACCGGGGCGCAAGCGUGUCACAGCGCCUGUCUGCAGGGGGAAGCGGGCUUCCCAGAGGGGCGCGUGGCUCGCAGAGGGGCUCCGGGAAUAUCCGCUCCGUUGGCCCUUUCCAGAGCUUUUCCUUAGCUGCUUCUCCUUUGAAAUCCGCCUUUUUCCCAGCAGCCCUUGGAGGCAGGAUAAAUUAAGUGGUAAAAGCAGAGGAUUAGGAACCGGGAACCCUGGAUUCAAAUCCUGCCCGCCGCUGACCAGCUUUGUAACCAUGAGCAGGUUACUCCGCCUCUGGAGGCCUCAGCUUCCCCGUCUGUAAAAUGGGGCCUAACACAGUCCAGAAAGUGCUUAGUGCCGCAGUGUCACACACCGAGUGCUUAAUUCAUUCUUAAAAUUAUCACUUCCAGCUGUGGGACAGGCGCAGGGUAGAAAGGGGUUUUCUUAAGGUCACAGGCGGGGUCAAAGGCAAACCCUCCGGGUCCUCACAAGUAAGACUUGCGAAGCAGCAAGUUCCCCAAAGGGUCUUAUCCAGCCGGGUAAGGAGCGCCGGGGCAUCUCCCCCCUCUCUCUCCGCGAAGACGCACAAGCAAUGGCUGGCGAACCUACUGCCUGGAAUGGGGUUCUUGGGUCGAGACCUUUAAAAAAAUAAAGAAGAGGAAGAAGAAAGAAAGAAAACAAACAAACAUGCACGCAAAAACGGAAUGCCAGAGCCUUUGAUCUAGGAGCCAGCUUGCUAUUCAGGGCCGACCACCGUCUCGCCGCAGUUCCUCCCCGGGAAGGAAGCCUCGCGCUGCCCUCCGGUGGCAGGCGAGGUAGUGUCGCCUGGGCGCAACUCACAAGCAGGGGUUUACCGGAGAAGCCAGCUUCGCUCUGCGCGGGUGGGGGCUGUGGGGGAGAGAGGAGGGAAAAUCGGAAUUGUUCCCUGACUGCUGUUUUUUGGUCCCGGUGGAUCUUGGGAGUCUUGGAAAGAGAAUAAUAAGGCUCUCUGCAUUUGAAAGGCAUAGGAGUUUUUACAUUCUGGUUUUAUUUAUUUUUGAAUGGAUAACACAUUUACACGAUUCAAAAGAUAAAAAAGAGGAUAGCGUGAAAAGGAAGUCUCGCUUCCACUCUUGUUCCCCAGGCACCCAGUUCCCCUUCCUAGAGACAGCCAUUGUUACAUGUUUCUGUGUACCCACCCGGAGACAGUCCAUGCAAAUGCAAGUAUUUUACAGGAUCAAUAGUAGCUUGCUCUGUAUACUCUUCUGCCUCUUGCUGCUUCGCUUAAAAAUGCAUCAUGGAGUUUGUUCCAUGUUGAUUCACAUAGGGCUGCCUCGUUCUUUUGAACAGCUGCAUAAUAUUCCAUUGUUUGGCUCUCCUGUAAUUAUUUGAUCAGUGUUCUAUUGAUGAGCCUUGAGGCUGCUUCUAAUCUUCUGUAAUCACAGUGUGUUACAACAAAUAAGCACCUACAUGCAUUGUUAUGCCUAGGUGCCAGUGAGGCACAUAGCUAUUGCGGUAUAACAAACCACUCCGAAAUUCAGUGGCUUUAAAUAGAAAGCUUUUGGUAUUGCUCAUGUGGGUCAGCUGGGUAGCACUGCUGAUCUGGGCCAAGCUCAGCUAACUUUGCAUUUGCUCCUUGUGUCUGGGAUCAGAAAGGGUGGGUCAGCUGGGGCUGGUUUAUUUAGGAUGGUCUAAAUCACAUGUCUGGUAGUUGACUGGCUAUCAGCUAGGGUUAGAGGGGUGUUCAGGCUAUGUGUCCGUCAACAUCUGAUAACAUGCAGUGCCUCCUGAGACUGUAUAACUGGUGUGAAUUUACAUCCAUUACAUUCUGUUGGUGCAAACAUGUCACAAGCCAGCCCAG